RNAcentral lists this ribosomal RNA (435 nucleotides) under uncultured bacterium. RNAcentral describes it as "partial 16S ribosomal RNA". It matches the Rfam family "Bacterial small subunit ribosomal RNA", at positions 28 to 507 of the family's 1533-position model. The record is from RNAcentral.
GAUGAACGCUGGCGGUAUGCUUAGCACAUGCAAGUCGAACGGACUCUUCGGAGUUAGUGGCGGACGGGUGGUUAACGCGUGAGAAUCUGGCCUUGGGUUCGGGACACCCACUGGAAACGGUGGCUAAUACCGGAUGUGCCGAGAGGUAAAAGAGAAAUUGCCUGAAGAUGAGCUCGCGUCUGAUUAGCUAGGUGGUGAGGUAAAGGCUCACCAAGGCAGCGAUUAGUAGCUGGUCUGAGAGGAUGACCAGCCACACUGGGACUGAGACACGGCCCAGACUCCUACGGGGGGCAGCAGUGGAAAAUUGUCCGCAAUGGGCGAGAGCCUGACGGAGCAGUACCGCGUGAGAGAAGAAGGCUCGUGGGUUGUAAACCUCUUUUCUUAGGGAAGGACAAAAUGACGGUACCUAAGGAAUCAGCAUCGGCUAACUCCGUG